RNAcentral lists this ribosomal RNA (721 nucleotides) under Escherichia coli. RNAcentral's name for it is "partial 23S ribosomal RNA". It matches the Rfam family "Bacterial large subunit ribosomal RNA", at positions 1920 to 2640 of the family's 2925-position model. Lineage: Bacteria; Pseudomonadati; Pseudomonadota; Gammaproteobacteria; Enterobacterales; Enterobacteriaceae. The record is from RNAcentral.
CCGGUAAACGGCGGCCGUAACUAUAACGGUCCUAAGGUAGCGAAAUUCCUUGUCGGGUAAGUUCCGACCUGCACGAAUGGCGUAAUGAUGGCCAGGCUGUCUCCACCCGAGACUCAGUGAAAUUGAACUCGCUGUGAAGAUGCAGUGUACCCGCGGCAAGACGGAAAGACCCCGUGAACCUUUACUAUAGCUUGACACUGAACAUUGAGCCUUGAUGUGUAGGAUAGGUGGGAGGCUUUGAAGUGUGGACGCCAGUCUGCAUGGAGCCGACCUUGAAAUACCACCCUUUAAUGUUUGAUGUUCUAACGUGGACCCGUAAUCCGGGUUGCGGACAGUGUCUGGUGGGUAGUUUGACUGGGGCGGUCUCCUCCUAAAGAGUAACGGAGGAGCACGAAGGUUGGCUAAUCCUGGUCGGACAUCAGGAGGUUAGUGCAAUGGCAUAAGCCAGCUUGACUGCGAGCGUGACGGCGCGAGCAGGUGCGAAAGCAGGUCAUAGUGAUCCGGUGGUUCUGAAUGGAAGGGCCAUCGCUCAACGGAUAAAAGGUACUCCGGGGAUAACAGGCUGAUACCGCCCAAGAGUUCAUAUCGACGGCGGUGUUUGGCACCUCGAUGUCGGCUCAUCACAUCCUGGGGCUGAAGUAGGUCCCAAGGGUAUGGCUGUUCGCCAUUUAAAGUGGUACGCGAGCUGGGUUUAGAACGUCGUGAGACAGUUCGGUCCCUA